Molecule: ribosomal RNA, 1431 nt
Filed under: uncultured organism
Description: partial small subunit ribosomal RNA
Rfam family: Bacterial small subunit ribosomal RNA
Source: RNAcentral
CAUGACGAACGCUGGCGGCGUGCUUAACACAUGCAAGUCGAACGGAAAGGCCCUGCUUUUGUGGGGUGCUCGAGUGGCGAACGGGUGAGUAACACGUGAGUAACCUGCCCUUGACUUUGGGAUAACUUCAGGAAACUGGGGCUAAUACCGGAUAGGAGCUCCUGCUGCAUGGUGGGGGUUGGAAAGUUUCGGCGGUUGGGGAUGGACUCGCGGCUUAUCAGCUUGUUGGUGGGGUAGUGGCUUACCAAGGCUUUGACGGGUAGCCGGCCUGAGAGGGUGACCGGCCACAUUGGGACUGAGAUACGGCCCAGACUCCUACGGGAGGCAGCAGUGGGGAAUAUUGCACAAUGGGCGGAAGCCUGAUGCAGCAACGCCGCGUGCGGGAUGACGGCCUUCGGGUUGUAAACCGCUUUCGCCUGUGACGAAGCGUGAGUGACGGUAAUGGGUAAAGAAGCACCGGCUAACUACGUGCCAGCAGCCGCGGUGAUACGUAGGGUGCGAGCGUUGUCCGGAUUUAUUGGGCGUAAAGGGCUCGUAGGUGGUUGAUCGCGUCGGAAGUGUAAUCUUGGGGCUUAACCCUGAGCGUGCUUUCGAUACGGGUUGACUUGAGGAAGGUAGGGGAGAAUGGAAUUCCUGGUGGAGCGGUGGAAUGCGCAGAUAUCAGGAGGAACACCAGUGGCGAAGGCGGUUCUCUGGGCCUUUCCUGACGCUGAGGAGCGAAAGCGUGGGGAGCGAACAGGCUUAGAUACCCUGGUAGUCCACGCUGUAAACGGUGGGUACUAGGUGUGGGGUCCAUUCCACGGGUUCCGUGCCGUAGCUAACGCUUUAAGUACCCCGCCUGGGGAGUACGGCCGCAAGGCUAAAACUCAAAGGAAUUGACGGGGCCCCGCACAAGCGGCGGAGCAUGCGGAUUAAUUCGAUGCAACGCGUAGAACCUUACCUGGGUUUGACAUGGAUCGGGAGUGCUCAGAGAUGGGUGUGCCUCUUUUGGGGUCGGUUCACAGGUGGUGCAUGGCUGUCGUCAGCUCGUGUCGUGAGAUGUUGGGUUAAGUCCCGCAACGAGCGCAACCCUUGUUCACUGUUGCCAGCACGUUAUGGUGGGGACUCAGUGGAGACCGCCGGGGUCAACUCGGAGGAAGGUGGGGAUGACGUCAAGUCAUCAUGCCCCUUAUGUCCAGGGCUUCACGCAUGCUACAAUGGCUGGUACAGAGAGUGGCGAGCCUGUGAGGGUGAGCGAAUCUCGGAAAGCCGGUCUCAGUUCGGAUUGGGGUCUGCAACUCGACCUCAUGAAGUCGGAGUCGCUAGUAAUCGCAGAUCAGCAACGCUGCGGUGAAUACGUUCCCGGGGCUUGUACACACCGCCCGUCAAGUCAUGAAAGUUGGUAACACCCGAAGCCGAUGGCCUAACCGUUGUGGGGGAGCCGUCGAAGGU